AUUGUCUUGCGUAGCCUGCCGACGCCGACGUCGACGUAUUUGCAAGCAGAUAUUUGUAUAAAGAAGUUUCAUUCAAGAACAAUCUUCUGCGGGGCUAAAAUGUACUUGUGAUGGUAUAUGCAUGAGUUGAUCGGAAUUCGAAUCGUCUCAAGAAACUAAGGAAUAUCUUUUCACCAUAUAUACUGAGAAGUUAAUAUCUCUGAUCUGGGGAAAUGGUAACAUAAAGAUAUUGUUAAAAUGAAUUAAAAACUGCUUCGUUAUGUUAAAACAAUUAUACGUGUUAAGAAUGCAAAGAAUGAAUGUACCUAAUGUUAUCGCCUAUUGAUCUAUGGUAGUAUUACAUAGUUUUUCAAACCCACUAUGAUGAACAUCGCGAUGAUAAGUUAAAAAUUUGGCCCCUUGGAAAACUAAUACAAAGUGCAUCCAACUUCAGACUUAACCACUUUACCGUUAUAUAUUUGAACAGCUGAUAUAGAAAGGCUUGUUUGUAUAAAAUUUUCUAAAAUUUUUUGGAAUAGUUUUUGUUUGCGACCCUAUCGAAGAUAUAAGAUCGAAAACUAUCUACUAUCAAAAGGGAAAAGUACAGUUGAAGCAAAGCGGAAAAUCUGUAAUGAGUAAAGAAGAUGUGUUGACCGAACGCCAAUGCCAAAAUUGAUUUGCAACAUUUCGUUUCGACGAUUUUGAUCUUAAGGAUGGACAACUUUGAAAUAAAGUAGUUGGUCGAUGCAAAUCGUAGAGAAAUACGUAGUUUCAACGAAAUAUAUAUUUUCAUAAAAUAUUUUACACAAUAAAAAAUCGUGUUUAAGUUGCACUAAAAAAAAACGAAAUUACUUAGUGAACGAUCCAAUAAUUACGUUCCCACCCUCGAACGAAAACAAAAAAUGAUUGCCUCACAAAUAUUGAGGGUGUCUAAUGAUUUACCCUUCAGGUACUUUUGCUUUUCAAUACUGUCCUCAACAAUAUAUUAAGUUAUUUUCAACAACCCUCUAAGUUUUUUGACGGUAAAAAUUAAAUUGAGAAUCAAAAAAUUUCAUUUGUAAUAUUGUUGUAAUGGCACUUCAUUGUAAUAUUUCUGAAAUAAUGAAGUCAAAACGAAGAUGUAUUGCAAGCGUCCUCGAAAUAAUAUACUCGCAUAUAUAAAGGAUUAAAAAAACAACUAUUUUAACAUAGAUUAUAUAAUAUUUUAAAUAUUUAGAUGUAUUGUGUAAUUUAAGUACAAUUGAAUCAUGUCUUUUCAUUACUAACUACUUUGUGAAAAGCCUAAAUUAAUUUUAUUUACAAAUAGUGUACGUAGCAGUAAUUUUAAUUAUUUUACAAAACGUACUUGUAUUUUAAAAUAUGCAUGUGUGCACAUAUGUACAUAUGAACCCUGCAGACUAGUUUACUGUUGCAUACUUACAACUCGUCAGCUAGGUGACUGUCUUAUCGAAAUAUUAAUUGACAGAUCUUGAAAUAUAUCAACCUGAUACUAGUUCAAAACAGACAAACAUUUAUGAUAAAUUAUAGAAGUUAACCUCUAGUUAAGGUUCCAAAAAAUUAUACAAAAGAAAAUAAAUUCGAAAAAAACAUCUUAGUUAAAUAUAUGUUAGAAUAUUUUAAUUGGACAAACUCACAUUUGCAACGAUCGGGAAAAAUAGCGAAUGAAUGAAGCCAUUAAUGGGCCGUAGGAUAACUGACACUAGUCUGAUAUUUUCAGGAACAGUUAAUUUUCAGUUCUAGUUUUGAUAACAGGGUAUAUAUGUAUGUAUGUACAAUGCAUAUGUUUUUAUUUAUUAGAGGUGUGCUCAACUUUUGCAAAUACGUAUCUAUGUAUAUGUAUGUAGUUUUUCAAAGGACAACGUUUUGCUUUUAUUUACAUAAAUGCCUUUAAUCUACUUUCUCCCUGAGCCAGGUGCAUUAUCUAAAUAUAAAUAGUGGUGAUGCAUUUCUGAUUGUUAACAUUUGAAUUCUGUUGUUAUUGCGAAUGCGCAAUAAAAAAGAAUACAUACAAAUAAAUUAAUAUUAUAAAAUUGAGAAAUAUUAUUGGAGAUUUUAGGAAGAUGCAUAUAUGUAUAUACAUAUAAACUAUCCAUUAGUCAAUCAUAUCUGAUAUGAACUGUGUACAUGAAUAUUUUUUGUCUUGUUUAAUAAUAUAAUAUUUUUUAAUGUUGUCUGUUUAUUCAUACAUAUUUCAAUUUGUUCAGCUUUGUUCGGAGCGGUACAGCAACUGUUUUAUGCAACUUAUGGUUGUAUAGGUAUACAUAAUCAUUGUAUUUUUGUAUUUUAAAACAACGAUACAUGAAUUAUGAGCGAUAAGAAAGUUUAAAUAUAAAUAAUAUCAUAAACUUUAUGAGUUGUACAGUGCCAUCUACAAUAAGAUUUCGUUAAAAUUGAUCUUGUACAUAAUUCUAUUUCGGAAGUUUUACAGUAUUAAUUGAGCUAUUUUAUAUAUCUUUAUUUUGCUACUUAGUAAUUUUCGAUUAUAUUGUAAUUAACGUAUAUAUAAUUCUAUUUCAUUUUUAAAGGAAAGCGUACAUUAUAGGUUCUAUGAUAUUAUUUGCAUCCCCACAUAUUUAUGAAAAAUUAAUGACAAUCCGAAGAAGUGUGAAAUUGUAAUUUAUAUACACUACCCCGAGAAUUUGAAAAUGUAUGUCAUAGUCAAAAGAGUGUGGCUGUCAACCAUGGCUUAAUAUUUACCGAUAUCAGCCAUUAAGACAUUAUUAAAUAAAUUAGUACAGAGGAAUAGCUGCUGUAUUAACUGAGACCCAACAGCGUUUUCUUAUAUUUACACUAGCCACCAUGAAUUUUUUUCUUUUAUUAAUACUGAUUAUUUACAUAUGGCUAUGUGCAAAAACGAUUUACAUAUUAUAUAUGUGUUAAAUAUGAUCAUGUUUAAAGAUGUUUUUGUAACUAAUAAUCGAAGGCACCAAUCAACGAUUUUUUAAUGAAAAUGUAUUUACUUUCACGAAAGCUCUCAUUGUUGACUAUCGAACAAAAUUAUUUGCGUAUGUACACAAAACUACUUAUAGAUCCUUAUAUUUUUAUUGUGUAUUAUAUUCUGCACUUAAGCAUUCAUUCAUAUAUAUAUAUAUAAGUUUAGUACAAAAGCAGCAUGAGAAAUUGCUUCAUACAGACUUGUUUCAAAUUUAUUUUUAAUCCUAUCCAUACUUUCAUAGUUAUGUGUGUUUAUUGUAUUAUAGAAAAGCGUGAAAAAGCUUGAAAUGCAAUGUUGUAGGGUUUGGAUUAUACUUUCGUCGAUUCAGCUUUGUCUUAGAAUAAAAGUGCAUACGAAUUCAAAUUUGUAAUAAUAUGUCUUGCUGUGUAUAUUUAUAUUCAUAUUUUUAAAUUAAGUUGAUUCAACACAACCAAUCUAUUAUACGAGUACAUACAUAAGUAUUUUAUUCGAAUGCACGUGCGCUACAAUGCAUAUAUUCAUGGACAACCACAUUCAUCUACUACCAUCUUUGGAAGAUCCCUUUUAAUAAUGCCAUCGUCACCAUAGUAUAUGAGAGACAUGCUUGAAAAUUUUACUGGUGCGCAACAGGGCUGCAUACCAUUCAGGAGCCCCAUUUUUCUAUAUUCUUCUAUAAAAUGAGCGUGAAAAGUUUGAAAUGUAUCAGGAGUGCGAAAGGGACCUGUACAAUCUCCUCGACAGUAAUUAGCAAAGUAGCCACGUGGAGCAAUGAUCCAGUCGUCCCAACCCAAUGCCUUGAAAGACACAUAGAACGAUUCCUUGCAACAUUGGCCAUGCAUUGCACCAACACAAUCAAUUGCACGCCGUCGUACACGUCGAAGACGUCUCGUUUCUGUACGUAAUACCAAGAAUGGUCGAUUAGGACUUAAUUCUGAUGAGAUUUGACUUUUUAAACGCAUAUACUUUUGCGGUUGUAAAUUAACGUUCGGUUUGUCUCGGGCCUGAGUAACUUGUGGUUGCAGUCGGUUAGACUGAUCCGAAUAUCCUAAUAAUGCAUACGGCCGAAGUAAUUUGGUUCGAACAUUAUUCAAUUUAUAGUUGUCUACUUUUGAAGUGAAGUUCUUCUUAGUAUUGCAGUCAAAAAUAUGAUUACAUAACAAAGAAUGUUUUGCUUUUGGACGCUGUUCUACUCGUCCUUUAACCUCAAUCUCUUUUUCUGAAAUAAUAUUAUGGUUCAAGGGCUGUUGUGUCCACUGUACUACAAGAUCAUUACGGUUCAAAGAACGGUAUCGUUUUUCUCGCUGCGGAUAUAAAAGUUUCUGCUUCGAAUUCUCCAUCGGAUGAUUAAACAAAUGUAAAAUAUAAUGCUUGCCACAACCUGUACAAUCAAUAAGAAGUCGCAAUUUUUCCGUCGGUGCUCGUCUAUACCAGUCCCGGACAGUUAGUGUUAUAUCGAAUUUUUGCCAGCCUAAGUUCAUUAUAUCCACAUCGUAAGUAACACAGAGUUGAGGAGACUUAUCGCAUUUCUUUAAAAUAAAUGUAAGAAUAUAUUUUUAGUUAUAAUCAAAAUUUUAAUAUAUGUAUAAACACUGUAGAGCAAAAAAGUACAAAUUAAUAUUUACAUUAGAACGUCCAGAAAUAUUAAUUUUAUCAUACAUACCAAUCAUAUAUAUUUUUAUGUUAUACACUAUAUAUAUUAACUUGUAUAUAAAUAUGCAUAAUAUAAUCGAAAUAUUUUAGAAAAUGGCGAAUAAGGAUAAAAAUUAGCUAAUGAAAUAUACUAUAUUUUGUGUACCGCUUAAAUGGAAUGUGCAAAAUCUUGAGAAAAUUAUAUGAAGAGGAAGAGCAGCAAAUUUUCCCAACACGAGAUGGCUGUAUGAACGAAGGGUUAACACCAAAAGAAAGUCACCGGUAAUGAACAACAAAAGUUUUUACAUCUAAACUCAGAUCAAGGAAGCGUUAAGUUCGGGUGGAGCCGAACAUUGUAUACCCUGGUGAAUUACGAGACGCAAAGCCUGGGAAGGUGUUAGCACAUUUUGAUCGAUAUAUUCGACAGAAUAUCGAAAAUCAUUAUGUGUAGCAUAUGGAGUAGUUCUUCAAUAAAUUUUAUCUACUUUCUCCAUUAAACCAAAUUUUACCCCAGAUUAUACCCUUACCUUAAGCUUUUAUUACGUCUAUAUAUCAUAAUUUAUCUUUGCAAGUUAAGAUUGUUUGUAAUUUUAUUGCUGUAAUGUUAAACAUUACACGAAAAUUUUGUAAUUUUUUUAUAUUAGUAGUGAGAAAACUGGUAACUUCGUGGAGAUACUGUAUACUUUUUUAACUAAAUUUAUACAUAAGAACAUACAUAGGCAGAUGUACUUUAAUUUACAUCCAUUUAUUUUACCUUCUUAGUUGUAUUGUUUUCCUUAACUUGAAAUAUCCAAAGUUUUGGUUUCGUUUUAUUUCCACCACAUCCACGAUUUUUUCUAUUCGUAUUAUCGUUGCACCCUGUUGCUAAUUUAUCAAUCCGAAUGUGAAUUUCAGCUUUUCUAACGAAAAAUUUUUCAUUGGGCAUGUCAUUUGUUUGUGGCGAGAAUUCAACAAGUCGAUGUUGUUUAAUCAUUUUUCCUGUAAGAAUAGGCAUACUUAUGUUUAAGUUUUUUCUUAAGUUUUUUCGUUCUUAAAAAUGGUGAUUAUUCUUAGCAUUAAUGUAAUUAAGCUUCUUAAUGCAGGGAAUGUAGAAAGCAUUUCUUGAAUUAUCUGUAUCAACCCAAUAAAGACCCCAGGCCCGAAGGUCUCGAAGGGCCCGUAGUAAAUUAAAUUUAUUUGACCUUAUAUACGCCUUGAUGCUGAGAAAAAAUCUACUUCAUAGAGGAAUGUUUUCUCGCUUUUGUAUUACCGUGGAAAGGGUUACGAUAAUGGUAGUAAUAUGAGCGCUAAAUAUGAAGGAACGCUAAAUUACAUCUAACGUAAAAAUAGUAUGCAGUUCUUUCGCCCUGUGGUGCCCACACGCUGAACGGCUGGAGUCAAUUAGCUGUAUGCUGUCCUCGAGCAAUAACUGUCGUUCAAAAUUUUUUCUAUAUUUUCAGUAACAGCACAUAACGUUGGAAAAUUCUGAAAUCAAAAAUACCCAAUUAACUUCACUGCCUCAAGGUGGUCUGCCAGAAUCGCGGCUGUCAAGCCAUUUUCGAAACAUUUUCCCGGAUUGAUAAACGCUUUGAAAAAAGUAAAAAAACUCAACCUUACGACAGAAACUUGUCGGGACGUUGAUGGAAUUUUGAAAUAUAUGAGAAAAUUUUAUUGCGUUUUGAUCGCCUCCAUGUGGUUUAAAAUCAAUCAAUUAAUGUAUGAAAGGAACUUGUUUCUUCCAGAUAUCAAUGGCACCAUCGACACUGAAGGUUAUAAAUAUAGAAAGCCCUCUUGCGGAUUUGCAAUUUCUGCUCGCUCAGUAGAAAGCAAUUUAAGCAAAGAAUUUAGAACAUAUCGAGACGAUGUUGCCAUGCGGAAGAAAUAAAAAACAGAAAGGACCCACAUGAAGAAGUGGAUAAAAAUUGCAGUAAAGAAGAAAUUGAAACUGCAUGUUCAUAAACUUAAUAAUAUAAAAAUACCGUUUUUUUUAUUAAUUAGAUCGAUAAAUAAAUUAAUGUUUGAAUUAGAUGUUUCUGAUGUAAUCUGAAAAAUGGUUUUUAACUGAAAGUCUAUGUAAAAGUAUGAACUGAUUUAUACAUUAUUGAAUUUCACAAACCUACAAAACAAAUUUGUUCCACCCAACACGUCGCUAUGCUGGGAAAACUUUAGUUUAGCAUCCCACGAUUUCAGGGUUAAGAGGGAUAUGGUUGGAUAGAGGAGAUUCUCCAGAUCACGAAUAUAUAUAAUUAUUGCCGCCGAAAACUUAUAGUUUUCGAGAUAUUUGCAUUUUAAGUUGAAAAUUUCACAAAUUUCAUUUUACAAUUUCUCGAUUUAUGGUUAUAUUUUCUUUUAUAUUAUGCACUUAUUAUACACUAACUUUUCACUUCAGUGUUUCUACAUAUUUAUUUUAUAUUAAAUAUUUAAGUAUUUGCUUUAAAUAAGCAUUUAAUUUUUACACAAUUUUCGUAAUAUGAACAAUAACAAAUGGGUUCCAUGUUGUCAGAUAAUAAGUGUUGCCACUUAUUUUCUAUAAAGAAAAUUUUCGGAUCAGGCAACUUUAGCAUACAGCUGUUAAGUUAAGGAACGGGUUUCUACCAAAAUAGCUGACACAUUAAAGGAAGGGCAUUUGGUUUACAUUAAAAUCACGUACUCAUCUGCAGAAAAAUCUUUGGCUACAGCAGCAAUCAACAGCGUAGUUUAAGCUAAGAAUGAAUAUGUAAAAUAAAGGCAGACUCAAUUUGGAGUUCAACCAAAACGGUAAAGUGUAAUUUUAUUAAUUGGCGCCCGAGCGAGGACACAGUCAAUUUAAAAGUGAAUAUUGGGCUAAAAAGUAUCCUUGCAAUCUAUAAGGAGAAAUAAGCAAUAAGUGCAAAUUUACAUUAUUCCUCUGCCACAAUCAACCAACUUUAAUUGAGCAGAAUAUUCAGCAACAAUGCGAUACCCAUCAAUCAAGUGUUCAAGGUAUCUGGACAUCAAGGACCUCCAAAGGACAAAGGAGAAAAAAUAAAAAAAGCUAGCUGUUGAUUGGAGAACACUUCGGCAAAUGGAUCAUUUCGCUAUGCAACUCGCAUGGCGACGAUAUGUGGCAAGCAUGAAUUUUAAUUGCAGCUGACGAUAGUGUUAUUACUGGUAGUGUUAGCCAGAAAUCGCCUGAGAGUUAAAUGAAUGCACCAAAGUGUAAUACGUCAUAAAGCAGAUCAUUCAUAGUAGCUUUUAACCGACAUUUAUGUGACUUUAUGCAUUCGUAACAGAUAAUGAUGUUGCUUGCUAUCAAAACUUUGGUCAUUGCUGAAUGUUUCGCUAUGUUAGUGCCAGUUCAUACACAUACUUUUUUGUAACCCAAACCUGUAUAUUGUAUCGUAACUACGCAAUUCAGCCUUUUUUUAUAUAUGCAAAUAUGUAUGCAUAGAAUAAUAACUUUGAAAAGUUGUGAAUAAGGAGAAAAUUGUAAUACUCAAAAAUAUUCAAUUUAAAUUCAGCGGUAUUAAAUGUAAUAAUACACGAGUAUACAUAAUAAAUUCUA
Bactrocera oleae (olive fruit fly) is the source of this 8024-nucleotide long non-coding RNA. RefSeq lists it as uncharacterized. NCBI's taxonomy places the organism in Eukaryota, Metazoa, Arthropoda, Insecta, Diptera, Tephritidae. The record is from RefSeq and is a predicted model, not a curated record.